AUAAAACAAUUUACUAAUUAGCACUGAUUAUGAACCAAUUUCCUAGUCAAUCCCAAAUUAGCUCGAAACCUACAUUAUUACAGUUGAUCUUCUGAUUUCAACAUGCCGGUCCUAACAGUUCUAUUAACAACAAACUCAGCCUGAAUGCGAUAUCAAUUGACUUAGUACUAUAACUAUCACUAAGUGAAGCAUCACGUCUUAAGAGUCCAAAUAGUUCUAGUCAGUCCAUAUUAUACAAAUUUAAACGAGUCCUACUUAUUCAAAUCUCAAUACUACUAUUACAUGUCUAACAUGAAUUACUCAUUCAAAAUGAACACAAAGGAAACUGCAUAUGAGCUAAGGCAAUAACAAAAUGCUUGCACUUUGAUUUCUCUUCCAACAACAACAUCCCACAACCCAGUAUAAUCCUACUUAGUAGGGUCUGGGGAGGUUAGUGUGUACGCAGACUUAUGGGGUAGGGAGGCUGUUUCCAAAUAGAAACCCGCAUCCUUCCCUCCAAGAACUUCCCACCUUACUCUUGGGGAGACUCGAACUCACAACCUCUCGGUUGGAAGUGGGGGUUGCUUACCAUCAGAGCAACCCCUCUUGUCUUGAUUUCUCUUCCAAUUAGGCUUUAUUCAGCUUGACAUUUUACAUAUCAUUCAAGGUCUGGAUGAAUACCUGGAAACAGAAUAGAGUAAAAGGAAGCAGAGAUUAGCCACAACAGAGCAAACAACAACAAAUUUGGAGUUUCAGACAUCAAACAAACAUAUCCAAUUUCAAUCCGGAUAUGCCUCAGUGAUCCGGAACUAUUUUAAAUCAAAUAAGACCAAUAUAGCAACCCACAGUCAGUAUCAAAACGAACCCAGGAGAUCAACCUACUCAACAGAUAACUCACAAUUGACUCAAACCAAACAGAUUCAAUUUCCAAUGGAUUCCAAACUCUGUCACCUUUCAAGUAUCGAACCAAAACAAAGGAUUUCAAUCUGUUUUGGUUUUUAAUUGAUCUAAAGAGAUGAACUAAUACUGAGAAAAGAAGUAAUGUAACAGUGCUUUUGUUUUGGCUCUCAAAAAUGCUCUUUUUCAAAACUCCCUUAACAAUCCAAAAUGAUCUACACUCUGUGUUCUUUGUCGGCUUUUUAAACUUGCUAAACUCAGUCCUUAACUCUCAAGAGAACUGAAUAGAAAUUUAAUGCCUUUUCAAAGUUCUCAAAAUGCUGUCAAAGAACUAAUUCAACUCUCAAGAACUGAUUAGAAAAAUGAAAUCUUCCAAUGCUCUCUGUUCAGGGGUGCGGGUUUGGGACUGAUUAGGUAAGCUAAGGUUUAGGGUCCAGAUUUUGAUUUAAGAUUCGACGAGCUUGGACAAGGUUUGGAGGAAAAGGGUUGGUGAUCUGGAAAGAGGGUAGCUAGGGGAUGCUAUGGUGUAAAUUUGGAGGUGAACGAAGCCGACGCCGCUGGGUUUUGGGCAGUGGAAAGGGGUGGCAGCUAGCUAGGGUUUGGGGAAUUUGGUCUCUGAAGGGCGGAGGCUAAGGAAGGGGAUGGGUU
RNAcentral lists this long non-coding RNA (1524 nucleotides) under Nicotiana benthamiana. RNAcentral describes it as "long non-coding RNA (NBEN_LNC033152)". Lineage: Eukaryota; Viridiplantae; Streptophyta; Magnoliopsida; Solanales; Solanaceae. The record is from RNAcentral.